Molecule: non-coding RNA, 71 nt
Organism: Mus musculus (house mouse)
Lineage: Eukaryota; Metazoa; Chordata; Mammalia; Rodentia; Muridae
Source: Rfam
UGAUCAGUCAGGCUUCUGGCUAUAUUCCAGGACUUACCUGGUCCUGGAUAUAACCAAAGCCUGACUAUAUG